GUGGGGAAUAUUGGACAAUGGGGGGAACCCUGAUCCAGCCAUGCCGCGUGUGUGAAGAAGGCCUUUUGGUUGUAAAGCACUUUAAGCGAGGAGGAGGCUCUUCUAGUUAAUACCUAGGAUGAGUGGACGUUACUCGCAGAAUAAGCACCGACUAACUCUGUGCCAGCAGCCGCGGUAAUACAGAGGGUGCGAGCGUUAAUCGGAUUUACUGGGCGUAAAGCGUACGUAGGCGGCUUUUUAAGUCGGAUGUGAAAUCCCUGAGCGUAACUUAGGAAUUGCAUUCGAUACUGGGAAGCUAGAGUAUGGGAGAGGAUGGUAGAAUUCCAGGUGUAGCGGUGAAAUGCGUAGAGAUCUGGAGGAAUACCGAUGGCGAAGGCAGCCAUCUGGCCUAAUACUGACGCUGAGGUACGAAAGCAUGGGGAGCAAACAGGAUUAGAUACCCUGGUAGUCC
This 451-nucleotide ribosomal RNA is filed under the name uncultured bacterium. RNAcentral's name for it is "partial 16S ribosomal RNA". It matches the Rfam family "Bacterial small subunit ribosomal RNA", at positions 354 to 796 of the family's 1533-position model. The record is from RNAcentral.